UGCCAAUGGUGACAAAACAUUUUAAAGGGGAACUAUGCAGUUUUUUUUUGCUUAAUUUACUUUAACUGAAAAGCUUUGGAGUCAUUGGAACGGUUAUAUGACUUUUUUCGGUUGAAUGGUGGUCGCCUCGCUCCCCCCUAGUGCCUGCGAGCUGAAAAA
Long non-coding RNA from Sander lucioperca (pikeperch), 159 nucleotides. RefSeq lists it as uncharacterized. The record is from RefSeq and is a predicted model, not a curated record. The transcript is spliced from 3 exons. Lineage: Eukaryota; Metazoa; Chordata; Actinopteri; Perciformes; Percidae.